Molecule: unclassified non-coding RNA, 334 nt
Filed under: uncultured fungus
Lineage: Eukaryota; Fungi
Description: partial contains 5.8S ribosomal RNA and internal transcribed spacer 2
Rfam family: 5.8S ribosomal RNA (bases 1-133)
Source: RNAcentral
UGGUUCUGGCAUNGAUGAAGAACGCAGCGAAAUGCGAUAAGUAAUGUGAAUUGCAGAAUUCAGUGAAUCAUCGAAUCUUUGAACGCACAUUGCGCCCAUUAGUAUUCUAGUGGGCAUGCCUAUUCGAGCGUCAUUACAACCCUUAAGCCCUGUAGCUUAGCGUUGGGAAUCUACGCCCCCCAGGGGCGCAGUUCCUUAAAUUUAGUGGCGGAGUUAUAGCAUACCCCAAGCGCAGUAGUUUAGCUCGCUUUCAGGGAGGCUGUAGCUGCUUGCCGUAAAAAAACCCCCUAUACUUAUAGUGGUUGACCUCGGAUUAGGUAGGAAUACCCGCUGA